Phasianus colchicus (ring-necked pheasant) is the source of this 400-nucleotide long non-coding RNA. RefSeq lists it as uncharacterized. The record is from RefSeq and is a predicted model, not a curated record. Lineage: Eukaryota; Metazoa; Chordata; Aves; Galliformes; Phasianidae.
AUCUCAAACUACACCUGCAAAGCAUACCUCAGCACUGCUCCUGUCUGCACCCUGGCUGGUGGCAGCCCUGCACAACAAUGAUGCUUUGGGCAAAUUCAGGAUUAGGUCCCUGACACGAAGGAUGCUCAGAGCUGCUUAAGUUGCAAUUGCUGCAAUCAUAUUCCAUACAGAGGAAGACCUUCACUUUGUCAUUUUGCACUGGAGAAGUUGAUCCCACCCAGCACUUUUGGAGAAAGAAGAAAUGAUCACACAGAAAAACCGCCAUUAAAAUGCUUUUUGUCUCCUUCCAGUAGAGAGGUGCUUACUUUCAGACCCUGGUUGCUCCCAAAACAGUGGAACAGAACCUCUGAUCUGCACAAAGGAAGAGACAUCGUCAUCCAAGUAAAUUGUCUGCAAAAAU